Molecule: ribosomal RNA, 253 nt
Filed under: uncultured bacterium
Lineage: Bacteria
Description: partial 16S ribosomal RNA
Rfam family: Bacterial small subunit ribosomal RNA
Source: RNAcentral
UACGAAGGGGGCUAGCGUUGCUCGGAAUCACUGGGCGUAAAGCGCACGUAGGCGGAUCGCUAAGUCAGGGGUGAAAUCCUGGAGCUCAACUCCAGAACUGCCUUUGAUACUGGCAAUCUCGAGUCCGGGAGAGGUGAGUGGAACUGCGAGUGUAGAGGUGAAAUUCGUAGAUAUUCGCAAGAACACCAGUGGCGAAGGCGGCUCACUGGUCCGGUACUGACGCUGAGGUGCGAAAGCGUGGGGAGCAAACAGG